GAUUAACGCUGGCGGCGUGCAUAACACAUGCAAGUCGAACGAUGAAACUUUAAUGACCCCUUCGGGGAGAAUUAAAGCGGCUUAGUGGCGAACGGGUGAGUAACGCGUGAGUAACCUGCCUUACACAAGGGGAUAGCCUUUGGAAACGAAGAAUAAUACCCUAUAAAACCAUAAAAGCACAUGCAAUUAUGGUCAAAGUGAUAGCGGUGUAAGAUGGACUUGCGUCUGAUUAGCUAGUUGGUGAGAUAAAAGCCCACCAAGGCAACGAUCAGUAGCCGGCUUGAGAGAGUGUACGGCCACAUUGGGAUUGAGACACGGCCCAGACUCCUACGGGAGGCAGCAGUGGGGAAUUUUGCACAAUGGGGGAAACCCUGAUGCAGCGACGCCGCGUGAUUUAGAAGGCCUUCGGGUUGUAAAAAUCUUUUGUAUAGGAAGAAAAUGACAGUACUAUACGAAUAAGGUCCGGCUAAUUACGUG
RNAcentral lists this ribosomal RNA (477 nucleotides) under uncultured bacterium. RNAcentral's name for it is "partial 16S ribosomal RNA". It matches the Rfam family "Bacterial small subunit ribosomal RNA", at positions 28 to 507 of the family's 1533-position model. The record is from RNAcentral.